CCCUUAGAUGUUCUGGGCCGCACGCGCGCUACACUGAUGCAUUCAACGAGUCUAAAACCUGCUCUGAUAGGGGUGGGUAAUCUUUUGAAUGUGCAUCGUGAUUGGGAUAGAUGAUUGCAAUUUUUCAUCUUCAACGAGGAAUGCCUAGUAAACGCAAGUCAUCAGCUUGCAUUGAUUACGUCCCUGCCCUUUGUACACACCGCCCGUCGCUCCUACCGAUUGAAUGAUCCGAUGAAUAUCAUGGAUUGAGGAUUAUAGCAGGUUCGCCUGUCUUGAUCUUCGAGAAGUGAAAUAAAUCUUAUCAUUUAGAGGAAGGAGAAGUCGUAACA
Molecule: ribosomal RNA, 329 nt
Filed under: uncultured eukaryote
Lineage: Eukaryota
Description: partial 18S ribosomal RNA
Rfam family: Eukaryotic small subunit ribosomal RNA
Source: RNAcentral